UAUAGUCAACAGUCGCGUAUGGUUCGAUCACGUCACCUUCUCCAACACUUUCGUCUUUUAUUUCAUCUCCCACUCUCAUUUUGUUGUGAAAGUUUUAGUGGCUGUGUUCUUCAUCUUUACCCAUCAACACCAUCAAAGAAAGCAGAGGGCAGAUCAUAAACCAUCACAUCCAUGAGUAGAGAGAUAGAAGUGCAUAAUCAUCAUCUAAAUGGCAGCUUGCCAGCUGAUAUUCCCGAGGAUUUGAGAGAGUUUUUGUCAGAAGUAGAAGGUGUUAGUUUUGAAGAAGCUAUCUUGCAACAGGCAAGCGUUUAUCAAUCAUAUCAAGAAUCUGGUAGGAACAGGGUUGUGGCUACAGAUGAUGAGCAUCAUAUCAGUGACUCGAGUUGUUCUUCAGAAGAUGAAGAUGAAGAUGAUGAUGAUGAUGAGGAUGAGGAUGUAGAUGAAGAUGCAGAUGAAGAUGAAGAUGAUGGUGAAUCCUUAGUGCAUGAAAUUGUUAACUCACAAGAAGUCACUGAUGAAGCUUAUGCUAGAUCCUUACAAGAAUUUGGGGAGGAAUAUGAUGAGUUCAUGAUAACCGAAUUCAGUGGCAGAGCAAGUGGUGUCACAGAAAGUCCUUCGACACAUGUAUCCAGUCCAGAUUCAAGCCAAGAUGACAUUGACCCUGAUAACAUGCGAUAUGAGGAAUUACUAAACCUUAGUGAAACGAUUGGUGUUGAAAGCAUAGGACUAUCCACAGAGCGCCUUUCACUGUUACCAAACUACAUCUACACAUCCGGAAUGUUCUCAAAGAACAAGGAAGAAAGUUGUGUGAUAUGUCAAGAGAAUUUCAAAUUCGGGAAACGCGUGAUAUCGUUGCCUUGUUCUCAUCAGUAUCAUAGUAAAUGCAUCAGCGAGUGGUUGAAGCUCAAGAAGAAUUGUCCUAUUUGUCAAAAGGAGGUGGUAUAAGCCUUUUGAAGGAAUGGUGGAACUUGCAUGAAAAUGAACCAGUAAAAAAAAAAACUGGGACCAUUUCUGCAACAAUCGCGAUAGUUGGACCAAAGGUGUUAUGAACCCAAAGUUGCAGGAUCAAACAUGUAAUUUACGCUAAAAGUAUGAGUUUGAAAUCCGUGGAUGUCAACUAUAUAUAACGGCACCUCAAUCACAACACCAAAUUUAGUGUUAAUUACUCCAUCUCAACAUCAUGUUUGGGUAACUAGUGUUCGUGUAUUAUAUUUAGAGGCAUAGACCUCUAGUCGUAAGGGUGAAAAUCUUGACCUGUUUUUGCAAACCAAAUCGGUACCAAUACCGUACCCUAUACUGUGGUUCGAUAUUUGGUGCUAGAAAUUACCCUAAAAAAUCGGUAUCUUUCGGUUUAGUACCUGUCCUGUCUGGAACCAACCAAUCUGACACCUACGUUCAAAGUAAA
This is a non-coding RNA of Lactuca sativa (garden lettuce), 1405 nucleotides long. The record is from RefSeq and is a predicted model, not a curated record. NCBI's taxonomy places the organism in Eukaryota, Viridiplantae, Streptophyta, Magnoliopsida, Asterales, Asteraceae.